Molecule: ribosomal RNA, 267 nt
Filed under: uncultured bacterium
Lineage: Bacteria
Description: partial 16S ribosomal RNA
Rfam family: Bacterial small subunit ribosomal RNA
Source: RNAcentral
UACGUAGGGUGCAAGCGUUAAUCGGAAUUACUGGGCGUAAAGCGUGCGCAGGCGGCUAUGCAAGACAGAUGUGAAAUCCCCGGGCUCAACCUGGGAACUGCAUUUGUGACUGCAUAGCUAGAGUACGGUAGAGGGGGAUGGAAUUCCGCGUGUAGCAGUGAAAUGCGUAGAUAUGCGGAGGAACACCGAUGGCGAAGGCAAUCCCCUGGACCUGUACUGACGCUCAUGCACGAAAGCGUGGGGAGCAAACAGGAUUAGAAUACCCUU